This 144-nucleotide non-coding RNA is filed under the name Schistosoma mansoni. Lineage: Eukaryota; Metazoa; Platyhelminthes; Trematoda; Strigeidida; Schistosomatidae. The record is from RNAcentral.
CCCCACCGUUGCUGCUACCUUGACGUGGUGGUCGAGCUUGCCUAUCGUGAUGAACCAAUCGAGAUAUACUGGCUAGAACAAUCGUUCCUCAAGGUCCUACCAUGCUAGACAGGUCUGUUGAAGAGCGGUAAGACUAAAAGCAGC